This 430-nucleotide ribosomal RNA is filed under the name uncultured bacterium. RNAcentral's name for it is "bacterial SSU rRNA". It matches the Rfam family "Bacterial small subunit ribosomal RNA", at positions 355 to 776 of the family's 1533-position model. The record is from RNAcentral.
UGGGGAAUAUUGGACAAUGGGCGGAAGCCUGAUCCAGCAAUACCGCGUGUGUGAAGGAGGCCUUCGGGUUGUAAAGCACUUUUGUCAGGGAGAAUGGUAAUUGGGGUUAAUACCCUCAGUUGCUGAUGUUACCUGAAGAAUAAGCACCGGCUAACUCCGUGCCAGCAGCCGCGGUAAUACGGGGGGUGCAAGCGUUAAUCGGAAUUACUGGGCGUAAAGGGCGCGUAGGCGGUUACUUAAGUUAGAUGUGAAAGCCCCGGGCUCAACCUGGGAAUUGCAUUUAAUACUGGGUAACUAGAGUGUGGUAGAGAGUAGCGGAAUUUCUGGUGUAGCGGUGAAAUGCGUAGAUAUCAGAAGGAACACCAAUGGCGAAGGCAGCUGCUUGGGCCAACACUGACGCUGAGGCGCGAAAGCAUGGGGAGCAAACAGG